AGAGUUUGAUCCUGGCUCAGGAUGAACGCUAGCGACAGGCUUAACACAUGGCAAGUCGAGGGGCAGCGGGAGUAGCAAUACGUCCGCCGGCGACCGGCGCACGGGUGCGUAACGCGUAUGCAACCUGCCUGUAAGCGGUGGAUAGCCUCUCGAAAGAGAGAUUAAUACGCCGUGUGGACACCGACCCGCAUGAGUUGGUGUUUAAAACCUUCGGGGCUUACGGAUGGGCAUGCGUUCCAUUAGGCAGUUGGUGAGGCAACGGCUCACCAAACCUACGGAUGGGAUAGGGGUCCUGAGAGGGAGGUCCCCCACACUGGUACUGAGACACGGACCAGACUCCUACGGGAGGCAGCAGUGAGGAAUAUUGGUCAAUGGGCGGAAGCCUGAACCAGCCAAGUCGCGUGAAGGAAGAAUGUGUUCUGCAUUGUAAACUUCUUUAGCCGGGGAAUAAAGUGCGCCACGCGUGGCGUUUUGUAUGUACCCGGAGAAUAAGGACCGGCUAAUUCCGUGCC
Molecule: ribosomal RNA, 512 nt
Filed under: uncultured bacterium
Lineage: Bacteria
Description: bacterial SSU rRNA
Rfam family: Bacterial small subunit ribosomal RNA
Source: RNAcentral